AUUUUAGUAGUAAUUUGAAUGUUAAAAGAAUGCAUGUAGAGAAUAAUGUAUUUCUUUUAUCUUUUGUUCUAUUAUUUAUUAUGUUUUAAAUAUAUAUUUGAUGACUUCUGAUCCAGUUACACACCAGGUGAGCAAAAGAUCAAAAUAUAAUUCCAUAGUUAUAUGAUAUCAUGGCACUUUUAUUCUAAUAUAGGCAGCGAGUUUAUCAUGUUACAUCACUUUCUUGCCAGAAAUAGAUCAAUUGUACCAUUUAACAUUAAUAUCAUUGUAGAUUUAGUUACCGAUACAGAAAAGUUGACUUAAAAUGACUAAGUAUGAAAGGUUUAAAAUGCUUACAAUGUUAACAUAUUGCUAUGAAUCAUAUAAAUUGUACAAAAUAGGGCAAAAUAUGAUUAUGCAAAAUUGAAAUAGCAGCAAAGGUGCUUUUUAUUGUCUGUUGACUAAUUAUUAAUAAUUUUGAUAUUUAUUUGAAAUUAAAUAUUUCCAUUUGUAAGUUUAUUUCCUUUUAAAAGAAAAUCUUUAAAAGGGAGAUAAAUUAUGUAGAAAAAAACAUUAUCAGAAUGAAUAAAGCUUCUAAAACUAUAAACUCAGGACAGCAAAAGAAAUAUACUUUUAUUUUGAUAUUUAAAUGGUAUUUACUUAAAGUAUCCCUAAAGGGACAUACAUUUUAGUAGUGCUACAAUAUCACAAAUCACUGGUAACAGUUUGUGUUUUGAUGGAGUGCUACUUGAUAAAUGAAAGUUUUUAUUUUAAACUUCCAUUUGAUUUUUUUUGAAAAAU
RNAcentral lists this long non-coding RNA (780 nucleotides) under Mytilus galloprovincialis (Mediterranean mussel). Lineage: Eukaryota; Metazoa; Mollusca; Bivalvia; Mytilida; Mytilidae. The record is from RNAcentral.